CCUACGGGAGGCAGCAGUAGGGAAUAUUGGGCAAUGGAGGCAACUCUGACCCAGCCAUGCCGCGUGCAGGAAGAAGGCGUUAUGCGUUGUAAACUGCUUUUAUAUAGGAAGAAAUAGACCUUGCGAGGUAAGUUGACGGUACUAUAUGAAUAAGCACCGGCUAACUCCGUGCCAGCAGCCGCGGUAAUACGGAGGGUGCAAGCGUUGUCCGGAUUUAUUGGGUUUAAAGGGUGCGUAGGCGGUUUAUUAAGUCAGUGGUGAAAGACGGUCGCUCAACGAUUGCAGUGCCAUUGAUACUGGUAGACUUGAGUGGGAUUGAGGUAGCUGGAAUGGAUAGUGUAGCGGUGAAAUGCAUAGAUAUUAUCCAGAACACCAAUUGCGUAGGCAAGUUACUAAGUCUCAACUGACGCUGAGGCACGAAAGUGUGGGUAUCAAACAGGAUUAGAUACCCUGGUAGUCCACACUGUAAACGAUGAUAACUAACUGUUGGCUUUCGAGUCAGUGGUACAGAGAAAUCGUUAAGUUAUCCACCUGGGGAGUACGCCGGCAACGGUGAAACUCAAGGAAUUGACGGCNGAGAGAGCGAGACGACGACGAGGGAGGAGG
This 606-nucleotide ribosomal RNA is filed under the name uncultured bacterium. RNAcentral describes it as "bacterial SSU rRNA". It matches the Rfam family "Bacterial small subunit ribosomal RNA", at positions 338 to 948 of the family's 1533-position model. The record is from RNAcentral.